This 365-nucleotide ribosomal RNA is filed under the name uncultured bacterium. RNAcentral describes it as "bacterial SSU rRNA". It matches the Rfam family "Bacterial small subunit ribosomal RNA", at positions 527 to 896 of the family's 1533-position model. The record is from RNAcentral.
GGAGGAUCCAAGCGUUAUCCGGAAUCAUUGGGUUUAAAGGGUCCGUAGGCGGUUUAAUAAGUCAGUGGUGAAAGCCCAUCGCUCAACGGUGGAACGGCCAUUGAUACUGUUAGACUUGAAUUAUUAGGAAGUAACUAGAAUAUGUAGUGUAGCGGUGAAAUGCUUAGAGAUUACAUGGAAUACCAAUUGCGAAGGCAGGUUACUACUAAUUGAUUGACGCUGAUGGACGAAAGUGUGGGUAGCGAACAGGAUUAGAUACCCUGGUAGUCCACGCCGUAAACGAUGGAUACUAGCUGUUGGAAGCAAUUUCAGUGGCUAAGCGAAAGUGGUAAGUAUCCCACCUGGGGAGUACGUUCGCAAGAAUG